CACGAGGGUGCUGAAGGCACAAAGCUUGCAUGUUGCAAGGCGAUGUGGCCUAGGCACAAGGGUGCCAAAGGCAUAAGACUUGCAUGUUGCAAGACAAUGGAGCUAGGCACGGGGGUGCCGAAGGCAAAGGGGAUGCCGAAGGCACAAAGCUUGCAUGUCGCAAGGCAAUGUGCCUAGGCACGAGGGUGCCGAAGGCAUAAGAAUUGCAUGUCGCAAGGUGAUGGGCCUAGGCACGAGGGUGCCGAAGGCAUAAUACUUACAUGUUGCAAGACAAUAGAGCUAGGCACGGGGGUGCCGAAGGCAAAGGAGAUGCCGAAGGCACAAAGCUUGCAUGUCGCAAGGCAAUGUGCCUAGGCACGAGGGUGCCGAAGGCAUAAGAAUUGCAUGUCGCAAGGUGAUGGGCCUAGGCACGAGGGUGCCGAAGGCAUAAGACUUGCAUGUUGCAAGACAAUAGAGCUAGGCACGGGGGUGCCGAAGGCAAAGGGGAUGCCGAAGGCACAAAGCUUGCAUGUCGCAAGGCAAUGUGCCUAGGCACGAGGGUGCCGAAGGCAUAAGAAUUGCAUGUCGCAAGGUGAUGGGCCUAGGCACGAGGGUGCCGAAGGCAUAAGACUUGCAUGUUGCAAGACAAUAGAGCUAGGCACGGGGGUGCCGAAGGCAAAGGGGAUGCCGAAGGCACAAAGCUUGCAUGUCGCAAGGCAAUGUGCCUAGGCACGAGGGUGCCGAAGGCAUUACAAAGCUUGCAUGUUUGCAAGGCAAUGUAGCGAGGCUUGGAAGUGCCGAAUGCAAAAGGGGAUGUCGAAGGCAUGAAGGUGCUGAAGGGAAGAAAUGCAUAUGUGCAAAUAAUAAUAAUAAUAAUAAUAGCUUUUUUUUUUUUUGGGAGCUGGGUCCGUAGGUUUUUUUUUUUUUUUUUUUUUUUGGGAGCUCGGGAGCUAGACCUUCGGCAGGCUGAGGCUGUUGAAAAUUUUGGGGGCUCUCCUCUCCUUCGAUGGUCCUUGCCGUUCGGCAAGGUCCUAGCCUUUUUUUUUUUUCGAGGCCGAGCCUUUGCCUUUGUGGGUUUGUUGGUGUUUCUUUCAUGGCCCUUGCCGUUCGGCAAGGGACCAAAGUGGUUUUGGCUAACGAGUUUGAGAGGGUUGGACCCGAGAUGGGCCUUGGCCAAAUGAGAAAAGAAUAGGAGCUAGGGUUUUGCAUUGUGAGAGAGGGAUAAAUAAAAAUUCACUGCCCCUGCCGUUCGGCAUGAAAUAGCUUAUUUCCUUCGGACCUAGGCUCUUAUUUCCUUCGGCAAGGGUGUCGGGUGCCGAGGCGAGGCUGGGCUGUGCCGUGAGUUUUGGGGGCUCCUGUCGAUCGGCAGGGGCGGUUGCGAAGAUGCUGGUCCGUCAGCAGUCGGGCACGUCCCUGAGGUUGCGGUAGGAGGGUGAAGCCGGGCUGCGUGGAUAUUUUGGCCAGACCUGGAGUUGCUACAACAGUCCUUGUGGGUGGGCGCUAGACGGCUCGACAUCAGUCCCUGCCGAACGGUAGGGUGGGCGUGACUUUUUGGUGAAGGGUUCGUGAUCUGAAGGGGGGUUACCUGUUCGUGUUUUGUGAGGGCCAGCAGCGGUGAUUUGGGAAGAGCUAGAUCUCUCUAUCUUCGGCAAGGCAAGGAAGGUGACCGAGCCUUCUUGUCUUCGGCAAGUCCGAUAAGGUUUAAUUUGGAGCUGGGCUGCACGAGCUGGCGAUUCGGUGUGGGUAUUUUCGUGAUCCCAACAAAUUUUGUGGGCCUUGCCGUUCGGCAAGGCCAGCUUGUGAGCUCGAGUUGCCCAUAUUUGUUUUUCUUAAUCCUUGCCGUUCGGCAAGGGCUUAUUUGGACUUGAACCCAUGUUUGAUGGGUUGUUGAAUUCCGGUGUAUACGUACUUGUUUGAUGUUUGCAGCAGGGUCCUUGGCAAGGCAAAAACAGGAGUUGAGGCUUCGGUGACCUUGGCUGGGGCUGAGGUGAGUAGUUUUCGGAGCUUUCAGCAACUUCCGCGUGGGCCUUGCCGUUCGGCAAGGCCUUCUGAAAUUCCUUUGUGCUUUUGUUUUUUGUCUUCGGCAAGUGGGCUGAUCCCAUGGGGGUGUGCAGAUUUGGAAGCCGGGCUGCGUGGGUCACGGCGGCUUGAUCUUGUUCUGAAAGUUAUCGGGGCUUGCGCAAGAGUGAUUAGCUUGGGAAGGGUCAGUGGAGCUGGGCUCAUUGAUUUUCGGCAAGAGGCGGACUGGUGGUGGCAGAUUCAGAAUCCGUGAGGCUGGGCCCUUUCGUUGGUGGAGUGCUUCUAGGCUUCGUGAGUUCGUAGUCUUGGUGGGCCUCCCAUUUUUUGUGCUCAACCCUUGUCGUUCGACAAGGGUGUGUUGAGCAAUUCUCUUUGUGGCGUUAUGUUUGUGAGGGCUGGCUGCGAGUUGCAGGUUGCUAGGGUAGGUCCAGCUAAGUACGGGUUUUUACUCGGCUGAACCCUUCCGUUUGGCAAGGGUGUCUUGAGCAAAUGGGUGUGCCAUUUGGUGUUCUGACUUUUCAUCCCAUAUUGGGACCUGGGCUUGUUUUAUCAGCAUAGUGCCGAUCGGCAAGAAGUGUUUGGCAAGAUCUCGCUCGGGAGGGUGGUUACGGCUUUGAGCUGAAGCAUGGGUAAGUCACCGACUGAUGGCAAAUGAGCUGGGCCUUUGUGGGUCGUCAGAGCUGGGCCAUUGAAGAUUCGGCAAGGCUUUGAAAGUGACGUGCCUAGGAUCCUGCUGUUCCGCAAAAAUCUUGAGAACUUGGCUGUAGCUUUUGGGUACCGACGGAGAGGACCAAGGAAUUGGAGCUGACGAUUUGCAAAAGGCUGGGCUUCGGUAAUGAGGCUGCAUAGUCGGCAAUGUGGCUGUACAAUCGGGAGGAGGCCGUGCAUGCGCGCGCUCUUUCGUAGCUUUCCGCAUAGCCCUUCGGCAUGACUCUAAAGCUGGGUUCGAUCUUUGUGAAGGUGGCCUUGGGAAAGGGAGCCACGAGCACCCUUGUAUCCCCUCGGCGAUGAUUUCGUGAGCUAUCCUCGGAGUCGAGAUCCACAGCCUGGAGUCUAGCAGUUUGGAGGAGAUUUGUCUCAAGCUUUGGACACUUGGGCAUUGUAGGCUUCGGCAAGGGCAGUGGCAUGAUUUUGCUGCUGUAAAGCUUGGGUAUAUACUUGCAAGGAGUUACAACCCUUGCUGCUCAGUGCCUUCUGCAAGCGGGGUGAGCAGCAAAGGUCUAUGCAUGGCAAAGCAAGGUGGUGGUUCAUUCGGCAAGGUGACCAAGUCCUCACGGCCUCGGCAAGGUGAGGUUCAAUUGGAGGGAUGUGCUCGUGAGUUCUCCUUGCAAUCUUUGGUUGUUCCCAAUGCUUGAUUAAAAAUUGUUGGUAUAGAGUUCCGAACUGUAGCCCAUGAAAGAGUAUAUGGAUUAAAAAUUUCUGGAGCAUAUGGUUGCUGUUUGGAGGAUGGGGUGCCGUUUGGCUUGGCCAUUUGAAUUGCUUCAGACUUUCGAAUAUACUAAAAUAUAAGAUAGGAGUUUGGCAUUUGCGGCUAGUUGUCUUCAAUCAUGCAAACGAUAAUAACCAUGUAAGCCAUGCAAACAAUAAUAACCAUGCAAGCCAUGCAAGAAAUAAUAACCACGUGGGCUUCCCAUUGGAUUGAAAUGGUGGUUGGCCCCCUUAGCCCUGCAAAGUGAUGCUGUCGGUGAAUUGGAAUAUUUGGCAUUUGCCAAAUUGGGGCAUCUUCAAAGUGGCCCGGACAGCUAUUAUUCAUUGCGAUAUUCAUGAA
Molecule: long non-coding RNA, 3766 nt
Filed under: Prunus persica (peach)
Lineage: Eukaryota; Viridiplantae; Streptophyta; Magnoliopsida; Rosales; Rosaceae
Description: long non-coding RNA (PPER_LNC004136)
Source: RNAcentral